This 766-nucleotide long non-coding RNA is filed under the name Dermacentor andersoni. RNAcentral describes it as "uncharacterized LOC126541646". The record is from RNAcentral. Lineage: Eukaryota; Metazoa; Arthropoda; Arachnida; Ixodida; Ixodidae.
UUGGUGCUCAAAACUUCUCUUCGCCUAGGUACUACGGGGAAGAAAGCUGUUAGCUCUGUUUGUCCCUAGCCGAGCUUGCAGCACAGAAUCGACAGGAUGCGUGGGCGGCAAGACGAAAAAGCCGCGUCCGAGGUUGUGGACGCUUCCAGACACAAGACUGAUUUAUGCAGCAGGCGCUCCUUGGCUGCAUCUACAAUGCUAGCUCAAGGCGAGAAUGCUUUGGGCACGUUGCCAUCUGCGUCCACAGUCAUCCUGGCACAACUGCCAUGAGAAAAACUAUUUCUCUUUUCCCAUGUAUUCAGAUAUGAGUUCCAGAGAUAAAACUGCCUCCAAGUCAGGUAAACCAUUGUAUUAAAGAACAUUAUAAGGAGGAGAAGGAGAAGGAAAAACAUUUAUUAAAAAAAAUAAAGGAAAAGCGGGUGUCUUUCUGCUUGUGUGGGAGGCGCCCUUAGUCCAGGACUCCUGUGGCUCUUGCUGUCUCCCGGGCUCACCACACCUGGUGUAACAAGAAUUGUGUUCUCAUCUGAAUUACUGAAGUAUACUUUUUCCUUUGUCAUAGGUGGAAAAGGAAAGUAUCAGCAACGUUCUCACACCUACACUGUCCUUAUUGGUAUGUAGUGUGACUAAAUUCUGCUUCUGCAUUAGUUGUGUUGAUAGCAUGCUUGUUCCAAAUUCUUAUUUGUUCCUUUUGCAAAUUUUCAUUUUGUUCACAGAACUUUCCAAAAGGGGAACGUAUCCAAUAAAAUAAAGCACUAAUUUACUUUCA